CAGGCUUUGCCAGCCCAGCAGGAGGAACAAGCGCACACAAUAAUCAACAGGGCGAAGAAAAUCGGCUAACGUAAUUGGUUAAUUUGGUUUCAGAUUUCAAAUGGACUAUUCUAGUAUCUGACAUUCUGGUUCAACAGGUUAUGGACCUGGUUUUAAUUGUAUUGUUUAAAAGAAUGUCAAUAAGUUCUAGAUUUCUAAAACGAGUCUCAAUAGCCGCCGAAUCCAUUCCCACCGAAUCCGGCAUUGGUAAAAAAAAGUAUACCUUCGCUAUGAGCUUCAAUUCGGCACGAAAACCAGGAUGAACUGGUGAUUAAAGAAAAUAUCAAGUAAAGCUUGAAAGCGAGUGGAGAAUGCAAAUAGAAAUCGAUUGAUUUCUACAAGAAAUUCCGGGGUUAAAUCGCGACCAUCAAUGAAGAUCGAUCGCCAAUAAAAUACAGCAAAGGGCAAGAAUAAACGAAAAUUGGGUAAAGAGUGGAGAGGAAGAACCGAAAUCUGUGAUUGCGGAAAGAAUGGAGAUCGACGCUAGGGUUUCAUCUGUUCAUCUUCUCCUCGGCGUCUCCCUCCCUGGCGAGCCUGUGAUCCCAAAGAACGAGUCGAGUUUGUUUUUCUCUCUUUUUUUUACGAGAUUUACCAAAUACAUCACCAUUUACUAAUAAAUUAAUAAUGCAGGUGAAAUUAGUGAGUGCGUAUAUUUAUCUUCCAAAAUAAAUUUUCAUUUGUAAAUAAUAUUGACUAAUAAUCAUAUCCAUCGUCUCCCCCCUUGCCGUUCCCCUUCCCCCUUCCCCCUUGCCGUUCCCCCUUUCCCCUUGCCAAGCGAUCUUCCUAGCGAUUUUCCCCUUGCCCCCCCCCCCCGAAAUCCCUAGCGAUUUCCCCCCUUGCAGGUAAAUCCCUAGCGAAGAGAAGGUCGCUCGUUCGCCCUCCAGCGAACGAGCGAGCUAACGCAAUUAGCGAGUGAAUCACGCGAAGUAGAAGCAUCCGUUUGAUCGCAAGUCGAAGGGAAAGUUGCCUGACCGCGAGCGAAGGCAUGUCAGC
Molecule: long non-coding RNA, 1032 nt
Filed under: Zostera marina
Lineage: Eukaryota; Viridiplantae; Streptophyta; Magnoliopsida; Alismatales; Zosteraceae
Description: long non-coding RNA (ZMAR_LNC002257)
Source: RNAcentral